GUAUGCUUACACAUGCAAGUCGAACGAAAGUUUUAACUUUAGUGGCGAACGGGUGCGUAAUACGUGAGAAUCUGCCCUUAGGAGAAGAAUAACUGCUGGAAACGGCUGCUAAAUCUUCAUAUGUCGAGAGAUGAAAUAGCUUAGGCUGCCUAAGGAUGAGCUCACGCCUGAUUAGCUAGUUGGUGAGGUAACGGCUCACCAAGGCCACGAUCAGUAGCUGGUUUGAGAGAACGAUCAGCCACACUGGGACUGAGACACGGCCCAGACUCCUCCGGGAGGCAGCAGUGAGGAAUUUUCCGCAAUGGGCGAAAGCCUGACGGAGCAAUACCGCGUGAGGGAUGAAGGAUUUUGGUCUGUAAACCUCUUUUCUCAAGAAAGAAGUUCUGACGGUACUUGAGGAAUAAGCAUCGGCUAACUCCGUGCCAGCAGCCGCGGUAAUACGGGGGAUGCAAGCGUUAUCCGGAAUCAUUGGGCGUAAAGCGCCUGUAGGUUGUUUAAUAAGUCUGUUGUUAAAGACUACGGCUUAACCCUANAAAAGCAAUGGAAACUAC
This 551-nucleotide ribosomal RNA is filed under the name uncultured bacterium. RNAcentral describes it as "bacterial SSU rRNA". It matches the Rfam family "Bacterial small subunit ribosomal RNA", at positions 42 to 636 of the family's 1533-position model. The record is from RNAcentral.